This 472-nucleotide ribosomal RNA is filed under the name uncultured bacterium. RNAcentral's name for it is "partial 16S ribosomal RNA". It matches the Rfam family "Bacterial small subunit ribosomal RNA", at positions 28 to 507 of the family's 1533-position model. The record is from RNAcentral.
GACGAACGCUGGCGGCGUGCUUAACACAUGCAAGUCGAACGCUGAAGCUUGGUGCUUGCACUGGGUGGAUGAGUGGCGAACGGGUGAGUAAUACGUGAGUAACCUGCCCUUGACUCUGGGAUAAGCCUGGGAAACUGGGUCUAAUACUGGAUACGACAUGUCACCGCAUGGUGGUGUGUGGAAAGGGUUUUACUGGUUUUGGAUGGGCUCACGGCCUAUCAGCUUGUUGGUGGGGUAAUGGCUCACCGAGGCGACGACGGGUAGCCGGCCUGAGAGGGUGACCGGCCACACUGGGACUGAGACACGGCCCAGACUCCUACGGGAGGCAGCAGUGGGGAAUAUUGCACAAUGGGCGGAAGCCUGAUGCAGCGACGCCGCGUGAGGGAUGACGGCCUUCGGGUUGUAAACCUCUUUCAGCACGGAAGAAGCGAAAGUGACGGUACGUGCAGAAGAAGCGCCGGCUAACUACGUG